AGUGAACGCUGGCGGUAGGCCUAACACAUGCAAGUCGAACGGCAGCACAGUAAGAGCUUGCUCUUACGGGUGGCGAGUGGCGGACGGGUGAGGAAUACAUCGGAAUCUACUUUUUCGUGGGGGAUAACGUAGGGAAACUUACGCUAAUACCGCAUACGACCUACGGGUGAAAGCAGGGGAUCUUCGGACCUUGCGCGAUUGAAUGAGCCGAUGUCGGAUUAGCUAGUUGGCGGGAUAAAGGCCCACCAAGGCGACGAUCCGUAGCUGGUCUGAGAGGAUGAUCAGCCACACUGGAACUGAGACACGGUCCAGACUCCUACGGGAGGCAGCAGUGGGGAAUAUUGGACAAUGGGCGCAAGCCUGAUCCAGCCAUACCGCGUGGGUGAAGAAGGCCUUCGGGUUGUAAAGCCCUUUUGUUGGGAAAGAAAAGCAGCAGGUUAAUACCCCGCUGUUCUGACGUUACCCAAAGAAUAAGCACCGGCUAACUUCGUG
Molecule: ribosomal RNA, 492 nt
Filed under: uncultured bacterium
Lineage: Bacteria
Description: partial 16S ribosomal RNA
Rfam family: Bacterial small subunit ribosomal RNA
Source: RNAcentral